UCGAGCGGUAGAGAGGUGCUUGCACCUCUUGAGAGCGGCGGACGGGUGAGUAAUGCCUAGGAAUCUGCCUGGUAGUGGGGGAUAACGCUCGGAAACGGACGCUAAUACCGCAUACGUCCUACGGGAGAAAGCAGGGGACCUUCGGGCCUUGCGCUAUCAGAUGAGCCUAGGUCGGAUUAGCUAGUUGGUGGGGUAAUGGCUCACCAAGGCGACGAUCCGUAACUGGUCUGAGAGGAUGAUCAGUCACACUGGAACUGAGACACGGUCCAGACUCCUACGGGAGGCAGCAGUGGGGAAUAUUGGACAAUGGGCGAAAGCCUGAUCCAGCCAUGCCGCGUGUGUGAAGAAGGUCUUCGGAUUGUAAAGCACUUUAAGUUGGGAGGAAGGGCAUUAACCUAAUACGUUAGUGUUUUGACGUUACCGACAGAAUAAGCACCGGCUAACUCUGUGCCAGCAGCCGCGGUAAUACAGAGGGUGCAAGCGUUAAUCGGAAUUACUGGGCGUAAAGCGCGCGUAGGUGGUUUGUUAAGUUGGAUGUGAAAGCCCCGGGCUCAACCUGGGAACUGCAUUCAAAACUGACAAGCUAGAGUAUGGUAGAGGGUGGUGGAAUUUCCUGUGUAGCGGUGAAAUGCGUAGAUAUAGGAAGGAACACCAGUGGCGAAGGCGACCACCUGGACUGAUACUGACACUGAGGUGCGAAAGCGUGGGGAGCAAACAGGAUUAGAUACCCUGGUAGUCCACGCCGUAAACGAUGUCAACUAGCCGUUGGGAGCCUUGAGCUCUUAGUGGCGCAGCUAACGCAUUAAGUUGACCGCCUGGGGGAGUACGGCCGCAAGGUUAAAACUCAAAUGAAUUGACGGGGGCCCGCACAAGCGGUGG
This 879-nucleotide ribosomal RNA is filed under the name Pseudomonas kilonensis. RNAcentral describes it as "bacterial SSU rRNA". It matches the Rfam family "Bacterial small subunit ribosomal RNA", at positions 62 to 935 of the family's 1533-position model. Lineage: Bacteria; Pseudomonadati; Pseudomonadota; Gammaproteobacteria; Pseudomonadales; Pseudomonadaceae. The record is from RNAcentral.